Long non-coding RNA from Homo sapiens (human), 1099 nucleotides. Ensembl annotates it as long intergenic non-protein coding RNA 448. The record is from Ensembl. NCBI's taxonomy places the organism in Eukaryota, Metazoa, Chordata, Mammalia, Primates, Hominidae.
GACCCCAGAGAGAUCCCUUGCAAGUUCCACCAUGUGAGGAUACAGGGAGAAAAUGGCAGUCUAUGAACCAGGAAGCAAGUCUUCACCAGAACCCAGCUGUGCUAGCACCCUGAACUCAGGCUUUCAGCCUCCAGAACUAUCCUCAGAGCUUUAUAGCCUUUCAGUUGAGAAAUAUGAAACACUGAAAAUCAAAAACAAAUGCUGGAAAUCUUCUAUCAGGAGUUCUUCUACAGAUUGAAAACCUGCACAGUAGAGAAUACAACCUAAGGAGUAUUUUACAUGCCUUCCUUUGUAUCAGGGCAGACUCAUGAUUAGUGGACUUGGAAGUUCAUAAAAUUUGGAGGGUCCUCUUUAAGAAAGAGAGGAAAAGGUUAUAAAUACAAAAUUAGAUGCAAAGACUGAGUCCUGAAAAGAGAGAGGUGAUGAUGUUUGUAUAGGUUGUUGCCUUUGUUUGUGAACUUCCCUGAAAAAAUGGAUGAGGAAUCACAACUUCUUUGCCUGCCACCAUGUAAGAUAUGCCUUUCACCUUCAGCCAUGAUUGCGAGGCCUCCCCAGCCUGAUGGAAUUAAAAACCAUGCCUUUCCUAUGUGGAUAAUCAGCAAAGCUGAGGACAUCGGGAAGCAACUCAGGAUUGCCAGUUUACAGCUCUUCUGGAUGUGCACUGGUUAAUGCAUGGAAUUCAGCAACAGCAGACUUUGUUCCUUUGAUGGAUCCAGAAGAUCGCCACAUCAAGGAAUAUGGUGGUAAAACUGCAAGAUAAUCUGCCACCCCUAACAACUAUAGAAGUUCUAAGGAUGUUAGAGACUCAUAGAGAGGAAUUCUAAUGGCCAUACUUGAACCGUUGCAGCAAUACACUCAGAAGAUUGGUGAAAGAAAAGAAAGGCAUUUUGAAAGUGAUUUUCAAAAAACAGUUAAUCCAGAAUUCCAUAUUUAGCAAAAUUAUACUUCAAGAAUGAAUGUGACAUGAUAAUGUCAAUGAAAAGAAAAACAAAAUAAUUUGUCACCCCAAAAAAUUAUUGAACAAGAAUGCUAAAGAAAGUAGUGUAUAACGUAUAUGGCUGUGAAAUAUAUUAUGAUUAAAGCCUAGAGGAUUUUGGAA